Molecule: microRNA precursor, 107 nt
Filed under: Phlebotomus papatasi
Lineage: Eukaryota; Metazoa; Arthropoda; Insecta; Diptera; Psychodidae
Description: microRNA mir-186
Source: RNAcentral
UGACCAAAAUAUUGGAGCAAGUUUUCCUUGGAACAAAUUUUUCUUCUAGGUACAAAUUGAUUCCAAAAAAAAUUGUUCCAAGGAAAACUUGUUCCAAUAUUUUGGUC